RNAcentral lists this long non-coding RNA (559 nucleotides) under Bemisia tabaci. RNAcentral's name for it is "lncRNA ENSSSA2NGG004628". Lineage: Eukaryota; Metazoa; Arthropoda; Insecta; Hemiptera; Aleyrodidae. The record is from RNAcentral.
GCGAUAUACUUAACUGCUCUUGCAGCAACCUUCUGCAUUCUCUCAGUUGAAGCUGAGGAAAAGAUCGAGAAGAAAUCGGCCGAAACAGAAACCAAAAACGAUCUUCAGCCGGAGGCUUCAGCACGAUUCUUCGGCUAUGGAGAUAAUUACGGUAGCGGCUACGGUGGAUACGGCAAAUACGGCGGAUACGGUGGCUAUGGAGGCUACAACAACUACGGCGGAUACGGAAGCGAAUAUCUCGGCACCGGCUACGGAGGUGGAUACGGUGGAUACGGAGGUUAUAAUGGAUAUCGCGGAGGAUACGGUGGCUAUGGUGGCUACGGAAGCAACGGCGGUUACGGAAGUUACGGAGACUACAAUAGUUGGUAAAACUAACAGUUUUGACGAUAUGAACAAUUCUCCUCCAGGUCUCUGCGCUACAAGUUGCUAUUUACUGCCAUUUUUCGCAUUCUUUCUGAAAAUCACCAUUAGGGUAAAACUGUUAUUUUUGAUCAUUUCACAUGUGAAAGUAGGUAUUUCCUCCCCGAAAUUAUUUUUAACAGCUUUUCAUUAUUUUUAA